GUGAGGAAUAUUGGUCAAUGGGCGCAAGCCUGAACCAGCCAUGCCGCGUGCAGGAAGAAGCAUCUAUGGUGUGUAAACUGCUUUUAUACAGGAAGAAACAACGCUACGUGUAGCGUCUUGACGGUACUGUAAGAAUAAGGACCGGCUAACUCCGUGCCAGCAGCCGCGGUAAUACGGAGGGUCCAAGCGUUAUCCGGAAUCAUUGGGUUUAAAGGGUCCGUAGGCGGCCUUAUAAGUCAGUGGUGAAAUCUCCUAGCUCAACUAGGAAACUGCCAUUGAUACUGUAAGGCUUGAAUUUUUGUGAAGUAACUAGAAUAUGUAGUGUAGCGGUGAAAUGCUUAGAUAUUACAUGGAAUACCAAUUGCGAAGGCAGGUUACUAACAAACGAUUGACGCUGAUGGACGAAAGCGUGGGGAGCGAACAGGAUUAGAAACCCUAGUAGUCC
This 445-nucleotide ribosomal RNA is filed under the name uncultured bacterium. RNAcentral describes it as "bacterial SSU rRNA". It matches the Rfam family "Bacterial small subunit ribosomal RNA", at positions 354 to 796 of the family's 1533-position model. The record is from RNAcentral.